Molecule: ribosomal RNA, 279 nt
Filed under: uncultured bacterium
Lineage: Bacteria
Description: partial 16S ribosomal RNA
Rfam family: Bacterial small subunit ribosomal RNA
Source: RNAcentral
UGCCAGCAGCCGCGGUAAUACGGAGGGGGUUAGCGCUGUUUGGAAUUACUGGGCGUAAAGCGUGCGUAGGCGGAUCGACAAGUUGGGGGUGAAAUCCCGGGGCUUAACCCCGGAACUGCCCUCAAAACUGUCGAUCUAGAGACCGGGAGAGGUAAGCGGAAUUCCUAGUGUAGAGGUGAAAUUCGUAGAUAUUGGAAAGAACACCAGUGGCGAAGGCGGCUUACUGGCUUGAUAUUGACGCUGAGGUGCGAAAGCGUGGGGAGCAAACAGGAUUAGAUA